AGGACGAACGCUGGCGGCGUGCCUAACACAUGCAAGUCGAACGAGGUCCAUCCUUCGGGAGAAGACCUAGUGGCGAACGGGUGAGUAACACGUGAAGAACCUGCCCCGAAGACCGGGAUAACCCUCCGAAAGGAGAGCUAAUACCGGAUACCCCCACCGAACCGCAUGGUUUGGUGAGGAAAUGGAUUCCGCUUCGGGAGGGCUUCGCGGCCUAUCAGCUAGUUGGUGGGGUAACGGCCCACCAAGGCAUCGACGGGUAGCUGGUCUGAGAGGACGAUUCAGCCACACUGGGACUGAGGCACGGCCCAGACUCCUACGGGAGGCAGCAGUGGGGAAUCUUGCGCAAUGGGCGAAAGCCUGACGCAGCAACGCCGCGUGGGGGAUGAAGGCUCUCGGGUUGUAAACCCCUUUCAGCAGGGACGAAUCAAGACGGUACCUGCAGAAGAAGCCCCGGCUAACUACGUG
This 465-nucleotide ribosomal RNA is filed under the name uncultured bacterium. RNAcentral's name for it is "bacterial SSU rRNA". It matches the Rfam family "Bacterial small subunit ribosomal RNA", at positions 26 to 507 of the family's 1533-position model. The record is from RNAcentral.